This 1306-nucleotide ribosomal RNA is filed under the name Lactiplantibacillus plantarum. Its description in RNAcentral is "bacterial SSU rRNA". It matches the Rfam family "Bacterial small subunit ribosomal RNA", at positions 63 to 1339 of the family's 1533-position model. Lineage: Bacteria; Bacillati; Bacillota; Bacilli; Lactobacillales; Lactobacillaceae. The record is from RNAcentral.
CGAACUCUGAGUAUUGAUUGGUGCUUGCAUCAUGAUUUACAUUUGAGUGAGUGGCGAACUGGUGAGUAACACGUGGGAAACCUGCCCAGAAGCGGGGGAUAACACCUGGAAACAGAUGCUAAUACCGCAUAACAACUUGGACCGCAUGGUCCGAGUUUGAAAGAUGGCUUCGGCUAUCACUUUUGGAUGGUCCCGCGGCGUAUUAGCUAGAUGGUGGGGUAACGGCUCACCAUGGCAAUGAUACGUAGCCGACCUGAGAGGGUAAUCGGCCACAUUGGGACUGAGACACGGCCCAAACUCCUACGGGAGGCAGCAGUAGGGAAUCUUCCACAAUGGACGAAAGUCUGAUGGAGCAACGCCGCGUGAGUGAAGAAGGGUUUCGGCUCGUAAAACUCUGUUGUUAAAGAAGAACAUAUCUGAGAGUAACUGUUCAGGUAUUGACGGUAUUUAACCAGAAAGCCACGGCUACUACGUGCCAGCAGCCGCGGUAAUACGUAGGUGGCAAGCGUUGUCCGGAUUUAUUGGGCGUAAAGCGAGCGCAGGCGGUUUUUUAAGUCUGAUGUGAAAGCCUUCGGCUCAACCGAAGAAGUGCAUCGGAAACUGGGAAACUUGAGUGCAGAAGAGGACAGUGGAACUCCAUGUGUAGCGGUGAAAUGCGUAGAUAUAUGGAAGAACACCAGUGGCGAAGGCGGCUGUCUGGUCUGUAACUGACGCUGAGGCUCGAAAGUAUGGGUAGCAAACAGGAUUAGAUACCCUGGUAGUCCAUACCGUAAACGAUGAAUGCUAAGUGUUGGAGGGUUUCCGCCCUUCAGUGCUGCAGCUAACGCAUUAAGCAUUCCGCCUGGGGAGUACGGCCGCAAGGCUGAAACUCAAAGGAAUUGACGGGGGCCCGCACAAGCGGUGGAGCAUGUGGUUUAAUUCGAAGCUACGCGAAGAACCUUACCAGGUCUUGACAUACUAUGCAAAUCUAAGAGAUUAGACGUUCCCUUCGGGGACAUGGAUACAGGUGGUGCAUGGUUGUCGUCAGCUCGUGUCGUGAGAUGUUGGGUUAAGUCCCGCAACGAGCGCAACCCUUAUUAUCAGUUGCCAGCAUUAAGUUGGGCACUCUGGUGAGACUGCCGGUGACAAACCGGAGGAAGGUGGGGAUGACGUCAAAUCAUCAUGCCCCUUAUGACCUGGGCUACACACGUGCUACAAUGGAUGGUACAACGAGUUGCGAACUCGCGAGAGUAAGCUAAUCUCUUAAAGCCAUUCUCAGUUCGGAUUGUAGGCUGCAACUCGCCUACAUGAAGUCGGAAUCGCUAGU